UACUUUUUAAUCUGUGGGUUAAAGUGUAUUAAUUUAGUAUUCUGUGAUUUUAUUUUUUUUCUUUCAUCACCUCUUUUGUUAACUUUUAGUUAAAUUAUCUACAAAUUUUUUUUUUUAUCAAAUAUCCACUUUAGUACAACGAAAAAAAUUAGUAGAGUGAAUAACAAAAAGAAAAAAAAUAAAACCACAAGGUACGAAAGUGAUACACUUUAAACAACAGGGUACUAAAGUGAGAAAGUACGAAACCAUAUGAAUGGUAUUUGAAGUUUUUACAAAAAUUAUAUACACCACACCAUAGUUAGUUAAUUCAUGAAUUAUUAAAAAUCUGAAUAAAACAGUUUGUAUGUGAUUUAUUUAAAAAAAAAGAAUAAAAUGCAUUUUUUUUUUGUUAGAUUUAUUAUUCACGAAUAAUUCGCAUAUGCAGAACUAUUCGGCCAAAAAAAGGUGUAAAAUUUUUGGAUAAAAUUGUUUUUCCGAAUUAUUGACAAAUUAUUGACGAAUUAUUCACUAAUUAUUCGCUAAUUAUUGAAAAACCUUAUGAACUUUCGAAA
RNAcentral lists this long non-coding RNA (551 nucleotides) under Ananas comosus (pineapple). RNAcentral describes it as "long non-coding RNA (ACOM_LNC026338)". Lineage: Eukaryota; Viridiplantae; Streptophyta; Magnoliopsida; Poales; Bromeliaceae. The record is from RNAcentral.